Molecule: ribosomal RNA, 831 nt
Filed under: uncultured Pseudomonadota bacterium
Lineage: Bacteria; Pseudomonadati; Pseudomonadota
Description: bacterial SSU rRNA
Rfam family: Bacterial small subunit ribosomal RNA
Source: RNAcentral
CAAGUCGAACGCGAAACCUUCCUUCGGGAGGGGAGUAGAGUGGCGCACGGGUGAGUAACACGUAGGUAAUUUGCCUUUGGGUGGGGAAUAACUCAGGGAAACUUGAGCUAAUACCGCAUAAUGCAGCGGCUCGACAUCGAGACAGUUGUUAAAGCGGGGGAUUCUUCGGAACCUCGCGCCUGAAGAGAAGCCUGCGGCAGAUUAGCUAGUUGGUAGGGUAAUGGCCUACCAAGGCGACGAUCUGUAACCGGCCUGAGAGGGCGGUCGGUCACACUGACACUGACAUACGGGUCAGACUCCUACGGGAGGCAGCAGUCGGGAAUUUUGGGCAAUGGGCGAAAGCCUGACCCAGCAACGCCGCGUGAAGGAUGAAAUUUUUCGGAAUGUAAACUUCGCAAGAACGGGAAGAAUAAGUAGAAGCUAAUACCUUCUAUGAUGACGGUACCGUUUGUAAGCUCCGGCUAACUCCGUGCCAGCAGCCGCGGUAAUACGGGGGGAGCAAGCGUUGUUCGGAUUUACUGGGCGUAAAGGGCGCGUAGGCGGUCGUGACAAGUCACUUGUGAGAUCUCCGGGCUUAACUCGGAACGGUCAAGUGAUACUGUCGGACUAGAGUACAGAAGGGGCAACUGGAAUUCUCGGUGUAGCGGUGAAAUGCGUAGAUAUCGAGAGGAACACCUGCGGCGAAGGCGGGUUGCUGGGCUGAUACUGACGCUGAGGCGCGAAAGCCAGGGGAGCGAACGGGAUUAGAUACCCCGGUAGUCCUGGCCUUAAACGAUGAAUGCUUGGUGUCUCGGGUUAUAAAGUCCCGGGGUGCCGUCGCUAACGCUUUUA